AAGAACGGCAAGGAACAGAAGCAGCUAGCGAGCUGCCAACGCCAUCUCCCUCAUUUUGUGUGUGUGUGUGUCGCUCACCGUCCUUUUACAUACAGUUCUCUUCGCACAUAAUUCUUUUUUUUUUUUGCCUUUUCCUUUCGCUGCUGUUGUUGCGCGUCGCUUCCUCCGGCCUCUCGCACCUACUCGGCCUUUUUUACGCUUACGGCGGCGUUUUUGUGUCCCUGUUCUCGACCGAUCACGCUCGGUGCCUUCUAGGCUCCGUUACUCCGUGCCUACACUGCUGAUCACGCCUCCAAUUCCCCAGUGACCACCCCAUUCACACUCCUCACCGGCACACCUACUCCAGCCAACGUGGUCGACUUAAAGGAAGAUCCACAUCCGCCAUGACGCUACGCACCCGCUUCGAAAGCUCCGAUGAUAUCGGUGUCUUCUCCCGCCUCACCAACGCCUACUGCCUGGUGGCCGCUGGCGCGUCGCAAAACUUCUACUCGGUGUUCGAACAGGAGUUGGCCAACCACAUAUGUGUCGUGUACACGUCCAUCGGUGAUGCACGCGUGAUUGGCCGCCUUACCGUCGGCAACCGUCACGGCCUCAUCGUUCCGUCUAUCACGACGGAUCAGGAGCUGCAGCACCUCCGCAACUCGCUACCCGACUCCGUGAAAGUGCAGCGCGUCGAAGAGCGUCUCUCUGCACUAGGCAACUGUGUGGUUUGUAACGACCACGUAGCGCUCAUCCACACAGACCUGAGCCGUGAGACAGAGGAGGUGAUCCGCGACACUCUGCAGGUUCAAACGUUCCGCACUUCCAUCGCGGAGAACGCCCUAGUCGGUAGUUACGCCGUAGCGACGAAUAAGGGUUGCAUGGUGCACCCCAAGACCCCUGCGCAGGACAUGGACGAGAUUUCGUCCCUGCUUCAGGUGCCGGUCGUGGCGGGCACGAUCAACCGCGGCAAUGCUGCCAUCGGCUCUGGCCUCGUAGUGAACGACUGGGCCGCCUUUUGCGGUCUCAACACGACGGCGACAGAAAUCACCGUCGUGGAGCGUAUCUUCCAGCUGCGCCGUGAGGCCGCCGGUGGCGACGAAGGCAACCUACUGCAGAAUGUCCGCGAGACCCUGGUGGACGAGCUGGCGUAGCUGAAAAGAGAACACACGAACAGGAAAGGGCGGUGAGCUGCGCGAAGCGAGAGUAUCACGGGCCACGAGCGCGCCGGAGCCUUCGCACAUCUGUGCCAAGGCUAGGCAGACGCUGCUCGCUUUCGAAGUCGAUCACACCGUGUUCCCCUGCCCACAACUGCCACUGUAUGGGGGUGGCGGACGGUUGGUCUUCUUCCGCUCCGACACAAUUCCUUGUUCUUUUUUCCGGCUGCUCUUGUCUUAUGGUAACGUCUAUGCGUGCGUCUGUGUCUCGCACGUCGCCGUUGCUUUUUUUAUUCUCUUUUGGUGUUGUUUGUUGUUUUCCGCGUUCCUUUUUUUUUUUGUUCGGCUCGUUGCGUCGCUGCAGUGGUUCAGUGCUUGUGCGUUUUUUUUUUCGCGUGUGUGUUCCUGUUUUUGGGUGUCCGUCGUCUCGUUCUUCUCCUUUUGUGGGGGUCCGUUACGGCGAUCUUUCUCCCGUGUGAUCUCUGUGGGUUCUCGAUCCGGCAGGAAAACAGCAACAACGAAAAGGGAGUCGCCGCCCUCCAAUGCCGCUGCGCGCGCGGGUGUUUUGUGCUGUUGUGGUUGGUAAUCGUUUGAGGUGGGGGUGCGCGUGUGGUGCGUCUUUGGUGCUCGCACAUGCGACCACCGCGUCGCUUUUGUAAGAUGCUCGAGCCUGUGGACGGUGCGCUUUCCAGCGCGGUAGCCACCAGCGCCGACCUUUCCCAUUUGUGUGGCUGAUGCUGGCACUCUUGAGGAGGAUCUCACUAUCACUUGCCGUUGCAUAGCAAACCCUCUCUUUACUUGCUUGCCCCAUCGCGAAGACAGCUUUCACUUCGCACCGGCGAGAGUGAUUGCAGCUCCUCCCCUCACUUCCUCCCUCCUGGAAGUCGCCCCGCAGAAUGCAGCACUUGUAUACGACUCUGACACGUGCACAAAUCCACUGACACUUCGCUUUUCACCUUUUUUUUCUCGUUUCCUUUCGAGAUCCACUAAG
This 2127-nucleotide unclassified non-coding RNA is filed under the name Leishmania donovani. Its description in RNAcentral is "gene:LdHU3.36.1250(CDS-product:eukaryotic_transla tion_initiation_factor_6_(eIF-6)_putative)". The record is from RNAcentral. Lineage: Eukaryota; Euglenozoa; Kinetoplastea; Trypanosomatida; Trypanosomatidae.